UGCCAGCCGCCGCGGUAAUACGGAGGGGGCUAGCGUUGUUCGGAAUUAUUGGGCGUAAAGCGCACGUAGGUGGCUUGGUAAGUCGGAUGUGAAAGCCCUGGGCUCAACCUGGGAAUUGCAUUCGAUACUGCUUAGCUAGAGUAUGAGAGAGGGUAGUGGAAUUCCGGGUGUAGCGGUGAAAUGCGUAGAUAUCCGGAGGAACAUCAGUGGCGAAGGCGACUUCCUGGGCCAUUACUGACGCUGAGGUGCGAAAGCGUGGGGAGCAAACAGGAUUAGAUA
Molecule: ribosomal RNA, 279 nt
Filed under: uncultured bacterium
Lineage: Bacteria
Description: partial 16S ribosomal RNA
Rfam family: Bacterial small subunit ribosomal RNA
Source: RNAcentral